This 378-nucleotide ribosomal RNA is filed under the name uncultured bacterium. Its description in RNAcentral is "bacterial SSU rRNA". It matches the Rfam family "Bacterial small subunit ribosomal RNA", at positions 521 to 896 of the family's 1533-position model. The record is from RNAcentral.
UAAGACAGAGGGUGCAAACGUUGUUCGGAAUUACUGGGCGUAAAGCGCGUGUAGGCUGCCCCGAAAGUCAGGUGUGAAAGCCCUGGGCUCAACCCAGGAAGUGCACUUGAAACUUCGGUGGCUUGAGUUCUGGAGAGGAUGGCGGAAUUCUCGGUGUAGAGGUGAAAUUCGUAGAUAUCGAGAGGAACACCGGUGGCGAAGGCGGCUAUCUGGACAGUGACUGACGCUGAGACGCGAAAGCGUGGGGAGCAAACAGGAUUAGAUACCCUGGUAGUCCACGCCGUAAACGAUGGGUGCUAGGUGUCGCGGGCUUUGACCCCUGCGGUGCCGUAGCUAACGCAUUAAGCACCCCGCCUGGGGAGUACGGCCGCAAGGCUA